GCUACGGACUGAAAAUCCGUUGGCUUUUUAGACCAUGAGGGUUCAAGUCCCUCUACCCCCA
Molecule: transfer RNA, 61 nt
Filed under: Marsupella aquatica
Lineage: Eukaryota; Viridiplantae; Streptophyta; Jungermanniopsida; Jungermanniales; Gymnomitriaceae
Also listed under: 3 other names
Description: partial tRNA-Leu
Rfam family: tRNA
About the family: Transfer RNA (tRNA) molecules are approximately 80 nucleotides in length.
Source: RNAcentral